This 69-nucleotide transfer RNA is filed under the name Chaetopterus variopedatus. RNAcentral's name for it is "tRNA-Ser". Lineage: Eukaryota; Metazoa; Annelida; Polychaeta; Chaetopteridae. The record is from RNAcentral.
AGUAUAUCCUUGGAAGGUUGCCUCGGCCGCUAACUGAGACAAAAGUAGUUCAAAUCUAUUUAUAUACUU